Molecule: ribosomal RNA, 433 nt
Filed under: uncultured bacterium
Lineage: Bacteria
Description: partial 16S ribosomal RNA
Rfam family: Bacterial small subunit ribosomal RNA
Source: RNAcentral
AGCGAACGCUGGCGGCAGGCUUAACACAUGCAAGUCGAGCGGGCCCUUCGGUGUCAGCGGCAGACGGGUGAGUAACACGUGGGAACGUACGCUUUGGGUGGGAAUAACGCCGGGAAACUAGCGCUAAUACCGGAAACGCCUGUCUGGGGAAAGGCUUGCUGCCGAAGGAUCGGCCCGCGUCUGGUUAACUAGUUGGUGGGGUGAUGGCCUACCAAGCCGACGAUCAGUAGCUGGGCGGAGAGGAUGAUCAGCCACACUGGGACUGAGACACGGCCCAGACUCCUACGGGAGGCAGCAGUGGGGAAUAUUGGACAAUGGGCGCAAGCCUGAUCCAGCCAUGCCGCGUGAGUGAUGAAGGCCUUAGGGUUGUAAAGCUCUUUUGUCCGGGACGAUAAUGACGGUACCGGAAGAAUAAGCCCCGGCUAACUUCGUG